UAUUCCUACGGGGGGCAGCAGUGGGGAAUAUUGGGCAAUGGGCGCAAGCCUGACCCAGCAACGCCGCGUGAAGGAAGAAGGCUUUCGGGUUGUAAACCUCUUUUAUCAGGGACGAAGCAAGUGACGGUACCUGAUGAAUAAGCCACGGCUAACUACGUGCCAGCAGCCGCGGUAAUACGUAGGUGGCAAGCGUUAUCCGGAUUUACUGGGUGUAAAGGGCGUGUAGGCGGGAGUGCAAGUCAGAUGUGAAAACUAUGGGCUCAACCCAUAGCCUGCAUUGAAACUGU
RNAcentral lists this ribosomal RNA (287 nucleotides) under uncultured bacterium. Its description in RNAcentral is "partial 16S ribosomal RNA". It matches the Rfam family "Bacterial small subunit ribosomal RNA", at positions 334 to 636 of the family's 1533-position model. The record is from RNAcentral.